Oncorhynchus tshawytscha (Chinook salmon) is the source of this 1042-nucleotide long non-coding RNA. Lineage: Eukaryota; Metazoa; Chordata; Actinopteri; Salmoniformes; Salmonidae. The record is from Ensembl.
GUAGGACUGUUCCGUUAGGAGGCAGGACACUUCGGUUAGGAGGUAGGACUGUUCCGUUAGGAGGUAGGACACUUCCGUUAGAAGGUAGGACACUUCCGUUAGAAGGUAGGACCGUUCUGUUAGGAGGUAGGACCGUUCCGUUAGGAGGUAGGACUGUUCCGUUAGGAGGUAGGACCGGUCCGUUAGGAGGUAGGACCGUUCUGUUAGGAGGUAGGACACUUCCGUUAGGAGUUAGGACCGUUCUGUUAGGAGGUAGGACUGUUCCGUUAGGAGGUAGGACUGUUCCGUUAGGAGGUAGGACCGGUCCGUUAGGAGGUAGGACCGGUCCGUUAGGAGGUAGGACCGUUCUGUUAGGAGGUAGGACACUUCCGUUAGGAGUUAGGACCGUUCUGUUAGGAGGUAGGACACUUCUGUUAGGAGGUAGGAUACAUCCGUUAGGAGGUAGGACUGUUCCGUUAGGAGGCAGGACACUUCGGUUAGGAGGUAGGACUGUUCCGUUAGGAGGUAGGACACUUCGGUUAGAAGGUAGGACCGGUCCGUUAGGAGGUAGGACUGUUCGGUUAGGAGGUAGAACCGUUCCGUUAGGAGGUAGGACACUUCCGUUAGAAGGUAGGACCGUUCCAUUAGGAGGUAGGACUGUUCCGUUAGGAGGUAGGACACUUCCGUUAGAAGGUAGGACUGUUCCGUUAGGAGGUAGGACCGUUCCGUUAGGAGGUAGGACACUUCCGUUAGGAGGUAGGACACUUCCGUUAGGAGGUAGGACUGUUCCGUUAGGAGGUAGGACCGUUCCGUAGGAGGUAGGACACUUCCGUUAGAAGGUAGGACUGUUCCGUUAGGAGGUAGGACACUUCGGUUAGGAGGUAGAACUGUUCCGUUAGGAGGUAGGACACUUCGGUUAGGAGGUAGGACUGUUCCGUUAGGAGGUGGGACUGUUCCGUUAGGAGGUAGGACACAUCCGUUAGGAGGUAGGACCGUUCCGUUAGGAGGUAGGACACAUCCGUUAGGAGGUAGGACCGUUCCGUUAGGAGGUAGGACACAUCCG